This 263-nucleotide long non-coding RNA is filed under the name Mytilus galloprovincialis (Mediterranean mussel). Lineage: Eukaryota; Metazoa; Mollusca; Bivalvia; Mytilida; Mytilidae. The record is from RNAcentral.
AAGCCUGUAAUUCAGUGGUUGUCGUUUGUUUAUGUGUUACAUAUUUUUCUUUUUUUUUUAAAUAAAUAAGGCCGUUAGUUUUCUCGUUUGAAUUGUUUUACAUUGUCUUAUCGGGGCCUUUUAUAGCUGACUAUGCGGUAUGGGCUUUGCUCAUUGUUGGAGGUCGUACGGUGACCUAUAGUUGUUAAUGUCUGUGUCAUUUUGGUCUUUUGUGGAUAGUUGUCUCAUUGGCAAUCAUACCACAUCUUCUUUUUUAUAUAAAC